This 497-nucleotide ribosomal RNA is filed under the name uncultured bacterium. RNAcentral's name for it is "partial 16S ribosomal RNA". It matches the Rfam family "Bacterial small subunit ribosomal RNA", at positions 28 to 507 of the family's 1533-position model. The record is from RNAcentral.
GAUGAACGCUGGCGGCGUGCCUAAUACAUGCAAGUCGAGCGGACAGACGCGGCUCUUGCUCCUCUGACGUUAGCGGCGGGCGGGUGAGUCACACGUGGAUAGCCUACCUAUAAGACUGAGAUAACUUCGGGAAACCGGAGCUAAUACCGGAUGAUAUAUUGAACCGCAUGGUUCAAUAGUGAAAGACGGUUUUGCUGUCACUUCUAGAUAGAUCCGCGCCGGAUUAGUUAGGUGGUACGGUAACGGCUUCUCAAGGCAGCGAUGCGUUGCCGACCUGAGAGGGGGAUCGGCGACAGUGGAGGUGAACCACGGUCCAGACUCUGACGGGAGGCAGCAGUAGGGAAUCGUCGCAAAUGGGGGAAAGCCUGACGGAGCAACGCAGGGUGAGUGAUGAAGGUCCUCGGAUCGGAAAACUCUGUUAUUAGGGAAGAACACAUGUGUAAGUAACUAUGCACGUCUUGACGGUACCUAAACAGAAAGCAACGGCUAACUACGUG